Molecule: ribosomal RNA, 512 nt
Filed under: uncultured bacterium
Lineage: Bacteria
Description: partial 16S ribosomal RNA
Rfam family: Bacterial small subunit ribosomal RNA
Source: RNAcentral
GACGAACGCUGGCGGCAUGCCUAAUACAUGCAAGUCGAGCGAACAGAUGAAGUGCUUGCACUUCUGACGUUAGCGGCGAACGGGUGAGUAACACGUAAGGAAUCUACCUAUAAGCGGGGGAUAACAUUCGGAAACGGGUGCUAAUACCGCAUAAUAUCUUCUUCCGCAUGGAAGGAGAUUGAAAGACGGCUCUGCUGUCACUUAUAGAUGACCUUGCGGUGCAUUAGUUAGUUGGGGGGUAACGGCCUACCAAGACGAUGAUGCAUAGCCGACCUGAGAGGGUGAUCGGCAACAUUGGGAGUGGAACACGGCCCAAACUCCUACGGGAGGCAGCAGUGGGGAAUCUUCCGCAAUGGGCGAAAGCCUGACGGAGCAAUGCCGCGUGAGUGAAGAAGGCCUUCGGGUCGUAAAACUCUGUUAUAAGAGAAGAACAAAUUGUAGAGUAACUGCUACAGUCUUGACGGUAUCUUAUCAGAAAGCCACGGCUAACUACGUGCCAGCCGCCGCCGUAA